GACGAACGCUGGCGGCGUGCUUAACACAUGCAAGUCGAACGGAAAGGCCCUGCUUUUGUGGGGUGCUCGAGUGGCGAACGGGUGAGUAACACGUGAGUAACCUGCCCUUGACUUUGGGAUAACUUCAGGAAACUGGGGCUAAUACCGGAUAGGAGCUCCUGCUGCAUGGUGGGGGUUGGAAAGUUUCGGCGGUUGGGGAUGGACUCGCGGCUUAUCAGCUUGUUGGUGGGGUAGUGGCUUACCAAGGCUUUGACGGGUAGCCGGCCUGAGAGGGUGACCGGCCACAUUGGGACUGAGAUACGGCCCAGACUCCUACGGGAGGCAGCAGUGGGGAAUAUUGCACAAUGGGCGGAAGCCUGAUGCAGCAACGCCGCGUGCGGGAUGAAGGCCUUAGGGUUGUAAACCGCUUUCGCCUGUGACGAAGCGUGAGUGACGGUAAUGGGUAAAGAAGCACCGGCUAACUACGUG
RNAcentral lists this ribosomal RNA (468 nucleotides) under uncultured bacterium. Its description in RNAcentral is "partial 16S ribosomal RNA". It matches the Rfam family "Bacterial small subunit ribosomal RNA", at positions 28 to 507 of the family's 1533-position model. The record is from RNAcentral.